Molecule: RNA transcript, 2357 nt
Organism: Panthera uncia (snow leopard)
Lineage: Eukaryota; Metazoa; Chordata; Mammalia; Carnivora; Felidae
Gene: CBLC
Gene name: Cbl proto-oncogene C
Exons: 12
Source: RefSeq, a predicted model, not a curated record
AGGAGCAGAGAGACAGGGAGACACAGAAUCCGAAGCAGGCUCCAGGCUCCGAGCUGUCCGCACAGGGCCCGACUCGGGGCUCGAACCCACGAGCCGUGAGAUCAUGACCCGAACCGAAGUCGGAGGCCCAACCGACCAAGCCACCCAGGCGCCCCGGGGGGAGCAGACUUGGAACCCCAUCUCUCGGAACCCAGGGGCCAGAUCCCCCAGGCUCCGCCCCCUUGGGAGACACCGGUAUCUGCGGUCCCCUCCCCGGUUCUCCAGGGCCCGCCCCCUCACCUUUGGCGCCCGGCCCCGCCCCCACCCUGGGCUGGGCCCGCCCCCUCACCUUUGGCGCCCGGCCCCGCCCCCACCCUGGGCUGGGCCCGGCCGCACCUCUCCCAGCCGCACGCCUACCUCCCAGGACGCCCUGGGACCCAUGGCCGCGGUGGCAGCCCCCUGGGGGCGGCAGCGGGAAGAGGCCCGCGCGCUCGGCCGGGCGGUGAGGCUGCUGGAACGCCUGGAAGAGCACUUCGGGGACCCCCGGCUUGCCUCCAGUCCCCCCUCGAUGCGGGACCUGCUGCCCCGCACCGCGCAGCUGCUGCGCGAGGUGGCCCACGCCCGGCGGGCGGCCGACCGAGGCGGCCCCGAGGGUCCCGGCGGUGCGCGGGACUUCCUCGUCGUCUACCUUAACAACCUGGAGGCCAAGAGCAGGCAGGUGGCGGCACUGCUGGCACCCCAGGGUCGGAGGAGUGCCAAUGACGAGCUCUUCCGGGAGGGCUCCGGACUCAGGCGACAGCUGGCCAAGCUGGCCCUCAUCUUCCGCUACAUGCAUGCAGAACUGAGCGCGCUCUUCCCCGGCGGAAAGUACUGUGGACACAUGUACCAGCUCGCCAAGGCCCCAGCCCACAGCUUCUGGAGGGGGCACUGCGGCGCCCGUUGUGUCCUGACCUGGACUGAGUUUGAGUCCAUCUUGUGCACCUGCCACCCGGUGGAAUCAGGCUCCACGGGCCUGGCCUUGCGCUCCACCAUCAACCUCACUUGCAGCGGCCACGUGUCCAUCUUCGAGUUUGACAUCUUUACCAGGCUCUUCCAGCCUUGGCCGACACUCCUCAAGAACUGGCAGCUCCUGGCGGUCAACCACCCGGGCUACGUGGCCUUCCUCACAUACGAUGAGGUUCAAGCACGUCUGCAGGCCUGCAGAGACAAGCCAGGCAGCUACAUCUUCCGGCCCAGCUGCACUCACCUGGGACAAUGGGCCAUUGGAUUCGUGAACUCAGACGGCAGCAUCCUGCAGACCAUUUCUCUCAACAAGCCCCUGUUCCAGACACUCCUGGACGGACAAAAGGAAGGCUUCUUCCUCUACCCAGAUGGGAAGAACCACAACCCAGACCUGACUGAACUCUGCCAGAUGGAACCCCAUCAGCGCAUCCAUGUGUCGGAGGAGCAGCUGAAGCUGUACUGGGCCAUGGACUCCACGUUUGAGCUCUGCAAGAUCUGUACCGAGAGGGACAAGGACGUGAAAAUCAAGCCAUGUGGACACCUGCUCUGUGGCAGCUGCCUGGCUACCUGGCAGCACUUUGAAAGCCAGACGUGCCCCUUCUGCCGCGGUGAGAUCAAGGGCCAAGAGGCCGUGAGUAUCCAUCAAUUUCAAGGGAAGCCAGAGGAAGCCACGGCCGCUGCCGAGUACCUGAGGUCCAGCAGUGACCAGGAAGAUGGGGACGAGGAGCUGGGGCAGGUGGCUUCCUCAGCACCCCCUCGGCUGAAUGUGUCCCCAGCUAAAGGCCGGCUGAAAAUGGUACCUCUGGCCCUCCCCAGACUUCAGGGCCCUCUAUCCUUGCCAAGAAUUAAGACUGUGGCCUUAGCCCCAUGGGAAAUCACCUCCAACCCUCAGGCCAGGGAGGGAGCCACAGGAAACUCCUGAAGGAAAAGUCACCCCUCUGGCUGCCCCCGUGGGGCCCGUGAUCGCUGCCCAGGCAUGGGGGCCGGGCACCACACGUGCUGCUAAAGGGAGCCCCAGGGGCUGCAAGGGGUUUGUGAAUAAUAAACUGCCAAGCCUGGUCUGUCGUCUGAUGUGUGGAGAAAACUACAGCAGCCACCAGGGGGCAGCUUGGCAUUGGGAACAGGUGGUCCUUGAAGCCUGAUCGCCACCUGCUGAAUCCAGGGGUCUGGAGGGGCAAUGGUGGGGAACCCAGCUCUUCUGGAUUCAGGAGUCCAGUCCUCCAGCCUCCUCCCUCAGACCCAACAGUCCAGGCCGCCAGCCCCCUCCCUCAGACCCAGGAGCCCGGAGUCCCAAGUUUUCAGAGAAUCAGGCAACCAACCCCCUUACCCCAUUAAUGAAAAAAUAAUACUAAUUCCUGAACCCAGACCCAGAUAUC